This 449-nucleotide ribosomal RNA is filed under the name uncultured bacterium. Its description in RNAcentral is "bacterial SSU rRNA". It matches the Rfam family "Bacterial small subunit ribosomal RNA", at positions 28 to 480 of the family's 1533-position model. The record is from RNAcentral.
GAUGAACGCUAGCGGCAGGCCUAACACAUGCAAGUCGAGGGAGAAGCCCUUCGGGGCAGAAACCGGCGCACGGGUGCGUAACGCGUAUGCAACCUACCUUUCACAGGGGGAUAGCCCGAAGAAAUUUGGAUUAAUACCCCAUAAUAUUAUUGGAUGGCAUCAUUUGAUAAUUAAAAUUACGAUGGUGAAAGAUGGGCAUGCGUCCUAUUAGCUAGUUGGAGUGGUAACGGCACCCCAAGGCUACGAUAGGUAGGGGUCCUGAGAGGGAGAUCCCCCACACUGGUACUGAGACAGGGACCAGACUCCUACGGGAGGCAGCAGUGAGGAAUAUUGGUCAAUGGUCGGAAGACUGAACCAGCCAUGCCGCGUGCAGGAAGAAUGCCUUAUGGGUUGUAAACUGCUUUUAUAUGGGAAGAAUAAGGAGUACGUGUACUUNGANGGCGGUNCCA